UCAGGAGCUUAAAUAACUCACUUAACAUAAAACAUGGAGUCAACUAAGGCUUCCAUUUAACUAGGCUAUCAAACACAAAGCCCUCAUUCUUACAAUACUCUUCUAAUGAUAGUUCCAUCUUUAUGAACAUUCCAGAGAUGGGGUUUCACCAUGUUGCCUAUGGAUCUCUACAUACAGUGUGAAAAAAAUAAGAGAAGAAAUGGAAGCCUAGAGGCAAGAUGACAGAAGAAACUGUAGUGUUAAUCCAGAUAAGACAUUGAAGAGCUAAACCAGGAUUUUGGUAAGACAGAUGGAGAGAUGUGAAUGGAUCUGAAUGCUACCAAGAAGGUCAAAUUCAACGGUGCUUACAGGCAUACCUUGGAAACAUUGCAGAUUUAGUUCUAGAACACCACAGUAAAGCAAAUAUUGCAAGAAAAUGAAUCACAUGAAUUUUGGGUUUCCCAGCGCACAUAAAAGUUAUGUUUACACUAUACUAUAGUCUAAGUGUGUAAUAG
Molecule: long non-coding RNA, 494 nt
Filed under: Homo sapiens (human)
Lineage: Eukaryota; Metazoa; Chordata; Mammalia; Primates; Hominidae
Description: HSALNT0321312
Source: RNAcentral